UGGGGAAUAUUGCACAAUGGGCGCAAGCCUGAUGCAGCCAUGCCGCGUGUAUGAAGAAGGCCUUCGGGUUGUAAAGUACUUUCAGCGGGGAGGAAGGGAGUAAAGUUAAUACCUUUGCUCAUUGACGUUACCCGCAGAAGAGGCACCGGCUAACUCCGUGCCAGCAGCCGCGGUAAUACGGAGGGUGCAAGCGUUAAUCGGAAUUACUGGGCGUAAAGCGCACGCAGGCGGUUUGUUAAGUCAGAUGUGAAAUCCCCGGGCUCAACCUGGGAACUGCAUCUGAUACUGGCAAGCUUGAGUCUCGUAGAGGGGGGUAGAAUUCCAGGUGUAGCGGUGAAAUGCGUAGAGAUGUGGAGGAAUACCGGUGGCGAAGGCGGCCCCCUGGACAAAGACUGACGCUCAGGUGCGAAAGCGUGGGGAGCAAACAGG
This 429-nucleotide ribosomal RNA is filed under the name Chloroflexota bacterium. RNAcentral describes it as "Chloroflexi bacterium partial 16S ribosomal RNA". It matches the Rfam family "Bacterial small subunit ribosomal RNA", at positions 355 to 776 of the family's 1533-position model. The record is from RNAcentral. Lineage: Bacteria; Bacillati; Chloroflexota.